UAGAGAGAGACAUGCGCGCAUAUCAAUAAGCGGAGGAAAAGAAACUAACUAAGGAUUCCCUCAGUAACGGCGAGUGAAGCGGGAAGAGCUCAAAUUUGAAAUCUUCAAGGUUCUACCUUGACGAAUUGUAGUUUAAAGAAGUGUUUUCUGUUGGAGUUUUGGUAAAAGUUCUUUGGAAUAGGACAUCAUAGAGGGUGAGAAUCCCGUAUUUGACCAUUAUUUCCAGCUUUGUGAUACACUUUCAAAGAGUCGGAUUGUUUGGGAAUGCAGUCCAAAAUGGGUGGUAAAUUUCAUCUAAAGCUAAAUAUUGGCGAGAGACCGAUAGCGAACAAGUACCGUGAGGGAAAGAUGAAAAGAACUUUGAAAAGAGAGUUAAACAGUACGUGAAAUUGUCAAAAGGGAAGCGUUUGACACCAGUGUUGUUUUCUCGAAAAUCAAUUAAAAAAGGCAGGAUAUUGUGUUGUAUUGACUUUAUCAGCUUUCUGCACUCUUUUCUUGUCUUUUUUAAUGCACUUUUCGUUUAACAAGUCAACAUCAAUUUCUUUUGUUGUAAAAGGGUCAUUGGAAGGUGGCUUUCUUUUCGGAGAAAGUGUUUAUAGCCUUUGGCCUCUGCAAUCGGAGAGAUUGAGGUCUGCAGCGUAGAUCCUUCGGGGUUAGAUACAUUUGUAGCUAAGUUAUAGCCUUUCAUAGACAACUUGUUGACUAUGAUCAGUCAUGUAGCUUACUCGCUUAUGCUAUUUUACCUACGCUUAGGAUGUUGAUGUGAUACUGCGAGCA
RNAcentral lists this ribosomal RNA (777 nucleotides) under uncultured Neocallimastigales. Its description in RNAcentral is "partial large subunit ribosomal RNA". It matches the Rfam family "Eukaryotic large subunit ribosomal RNA", at positions 23 to 643 of the family's 3401-position model. The record is from RNAcentral. Lineage: Eukaryota; Fungi; Neocallimastigomycota; Neocallimastigomycetes; Neocallimastigales.